CACGAGGUCACAUUUUUGUAGUUAUGACUAAGUUUAGCUUCCUCAUAACAGAGGGAAAAUCGGAUGUUGGGAAGUUUAUCAAACGCAAACUUUACUUUUAUAAAAAAUUCUAUGUAUUUUGCGUAAUUAGUUGUGGGAACCUUCGUUGUUUUUUCGUUAAAUUUCGUUAAAGUAGCUUUCCAGUUAGACAUUACAUUUAGACGACAUGAACCUAGAUGCUGCUGACCCUUAUAUAUUUCCAACUCACUCGUUACCCUCUGACCACCGUUUCCUGCCACCUCUGACCAAUGGGACACUGGGAUGGAGAGUGUUUGGAAAAAUUAUGCAUAAGGGUGGAGUCUAUAAUGGAGAGGUUGGAGCCUGUCACCGAGCUGAUAUACCAUGUCCUCUUGCAGUCAGAAUGAAGGUCAAGGAGGGGAAACAUAUGUACAGCUUGGACGCUCACGCUGGUAUUUUCACUCACUCAGUACUAACCCCUUAUGUGGAAGCAACUCAGGUGUUCUAUGCUCAUCGACAAUAUCCCAACCUGCUGGUCAUGGAAGUGCAGCUAAAGCGCCAGAAAAGCUCAGAGGAAGCAAUCACAGUCAAGCUUGAAAGUUCUUUCGCCCCUCACAGUCAUGACAUUGCCUUUGAAAAGGCUCCUGACUACAGAGGAGGAAGGCACAUGUUUGGGCACACUAUGUCUGCAGAAGUCCCUGGAGUACUUCGUCCAUGUGUGCACCUCAUCUGGAGCCCUCUAAUCUUAGAUGUAACGUUGCAGCCUGACCAGAGGGAGUCUAGCUGGAACUUCCUGGUUGCAGUUGCAGAGAGCAGUGAGAUUGCCCAAUCAUGCUUUGACACUGGUUUGGAGCUCAUUGAGCAUGGUGACCUGCAGGCUUUCCAUAAAAGAGCAUGGGCAGAGCUAUGGCAUGGCAGCAGUGUGGAGUUAGCUGGGCCAGAACCUUUGAGACAAGCUGUGAUUGGCUGCAUGUUUUACCUUCUCAGUGCACUCCCCUCUCAGACAGAGACACCCACACCAUUUGGGGGUAUCAGUCCUGGAGGAUUGUCUAAUGGGGGACAUGGACAAGAACAGGACUACUGGGGACAUGUUUUCUGGGAUCAGGACACAUGGAUGUAUCCUAACAUGGCACUCUUUCACCCUAAACUGGCCAGAGCUGUCUUGAAGUACAGAUUGCAUACACUAGAAGGUGCCCGGGUCAAUGCCCAGGAGCAGGGCUAUAAGGGUUUGAAGUUCCCAUGGGAGAGUGCUGUAUCUGGUCAAGAGGUGUGUCCAAUGGAGAGUUAUGGAAAGCAGGAGAUCCAUAUUAACGGAGAUGUAGCUCUUGCCUUCCGUCACUACCUCUACCUUACACAGGACAUUGAACUAUUUAAAGAGGGCGGUGCCAGUGAAGUGGUGUGGGGUAUAGCUGAUUAUUGGGUGUCCCGAGUUAUCUGGGACCCCAGUGACCAGCAUUACCACCUCAAAGGAGUGAUGCCUCCUGAUGAGUAUAAUCAAAAUGUUGACAACUCGGUGUACACUAACACUGUGGCCAAGUACAGUCUGCAGUUUGCUGUGGACUUGGCUAGGUUGCUCCAGCAUCCUGUACCCUCAGAAUGGCAGGAAAUAGCUGAUAAACUAAAAAUUCCCUAUGACCCUGGACUAAAGUACCACCCAGAAUUUGAUGGUUAUGAAAAGGGAAGUGAAGUGAAGCAAGCAGAUGCCAUUCUGAUAGGAUUCCCCUUGGGGUUGCCCAUGAGCCCAGAGGUCAGAUGGAAUGAUCUGGAAUGUUAUGAGGCCGUUACUGACCCGCUUGGUCCUGCUAUGACUUGGAGUAUGUUUGCAGUGGGUUGGUUGGAGCUUGGUGAAGCUGAAAAAGCACAACAGCUUCUGCAAAAGUGCUACAAAAAUAUACAGGGCCCCUUCCAGGUGUGGAGUGAGUCAUCUGAUGGUUCUGGAGCUGUUAACUUCCUCACAGGCAUGGGAGGAUUUCUGCAGGCUGUGUUGUUUGGGUACACUGGUUUCAGGGUCCAAAAAGACUGUCUGAGCUUUUCUCCACUAAUACCUAAUGAAGUGUCUAUGCUCAGUCUGAAAGGCAUCAGUUAUCUUGGUAAUAAGAUGGACUGGGUUCUGGAGAGACAGGAAGUCAGCGUUGUCGUGUGGAACCAGGCAAAGGAUUCUGUCACUGAGCAGCCUUGUCCUCUUGAGAUUGUGCUUCAGAGCUCUGGAGACAUUAUCCCUCUUGGUCCAGGUCAACAAAUAUAAUCACUUAUAUCUGAUAAACAAGAAGAAGAACAAGAAUCCUCAAUUCAAACUUAUGGCAAGCAGUGACAUUUCCAUGGCAACCUGGCAAGAUCCAAAAACAAAGCACUACCUCAUACUGCUGGCCUCUUUGAUCCAGAAAAUACAAGCCAAUAUUACUAGCAUUGCCAUGAAAGACUGUUUUGAUAAUCAAUAUUUUUAUGAUAUAAUUGAGCUGUAAGUAUGCAAUUAUUGUGUAUUUGAUACUGUUUGAAAUCAUUGCUUAUUAAGUUCUCUCCUGAGACACUUUUAUCCCACUUUUCCCAAGUUUGUAGUUGACUGUUUUGGUGUUUCACUUACUGCUCCAAACAAUCUCACAAUUUUUGGGAUUAAUCCAUUAAUCAUUCACUGAACAAAUCACACACAUUUGGCUCCAUGUGUUCUGUAGUCAUUUUACUAGAAAUGACAAGCACAAAAAAUAACAUAUAUUUAGUCAGAUAUUGUGUAGUUUAGAAUAAGACGUUGAUUAAAUGUUAUUACACGUAGAUAUUUGAUCUACACUUUUAGAAAUGCUUCAUAUUAUAUUUAGCAUACAUUUCUGUUUCUGUUUCUUCAGUUAAAAUCACUAAAUCUUUAAGGGUUUUAUCACCUUACUACAAUCUUAUAGUAGGUACGUUUACAUGGACACUUGUAAUCCGAUCGUAACAGGACUAGAAGCACAAUCAGAUAAAAAAGUGUCAUGUAAACACGUCACUCGGAUGGAAUUUGCCACAUCCAAUUAAAAUUUCAAUCGGAUGGUAAGGGGUGGUUUAAACCAUUUUUAGUCCGAUCGAGAGGACAUGUAAACACUUAAUCGGAUGGAAUAUGUUCCUGGAAAGUUCUGCGCAUGUGCAAUGACUGCAACACCACUACUGCAAGACACUAGCAUUUGUUUAUACAAUAAGUCUUCAUCUGAUUAAAUAUGAAUUUACAUUGGCUUACUUUACAAAUUCAAAAAUAUAGUCUUUGAAUGAUGUUAGACACAAAUGUUUGUGUCAUGGUGAAAAUAAAACUGUUGUUUCCACUGA
RNA transcript from Hemibagrus wyckioides, 3285 nucleotides. It is a transcript of the gene named protein-glucosylgalactosylhydroxylysine glucosidase, with no coding region annotated. The transcript is spliced from 14 exons. Lineage: Eukaryota; Metazoa; Chordata; Actinopteri; Siluriformes; Bagridae. The record is from RefSeq and is a predicted model, not a curated record.